Scleropages formosus (Asian bonytongue) is the source of this 131-nucleotide small nucleolar RNA. Ensembl annotates it as small nucleolar RNA SNORA42/SNORA80 family. Lineage: Eukaryota; Metazoa; Chordata; Actinopteri; Osteoglossiformes; Osteoglossidae. The record is from Ensembl.
GCAUGUCUUGAUUUAUGGUUGGACCUAUCAUAUGGUCCUGUCAUAGUGUACGACAUGCAAAAGAAACCUACUCCGAACCAUUGACAGGUCUCUGACCAUAGGCCUGAAUCACUGAUGUGAGUAGAACAGCU